CCUGAUGGCUCAGAUGGUAAAGAAUCUGCCUGCAAUUCAGGAGACCCAGGUUCGAUCCCUGGGUCAGGA
Molecule: transfer RNA, 69 nt
Filed under: Ovis aries (sheep)
Lineage: Eukaryota; Metazoa; Chordata; Mammalia; Artiodactyla; Bovidae
Rfam family: tRNA
About the family: Transfer RNA (tRNA) molecules are approximately 80 nucleotides in length.
Source: Rfam by way of RNAcentral